This 527-nucleotide ribosomal RNA is filed under the name uncultured bacterium. Its description in RNAcentral is "bacterial SSU rRNA". It matches the Rfam family "Bacterial small subunit ribosomal RNA", at positions 777 to 1303 of the family's 1533-position model. The record is from RNAcentral.
AAUAGAUACCAGGUAGUCCACGCCGUAAACGAUGAGUGCUAAGUGUUAGAGGGUUUCCGCCCUUUAGUGCUGCAGCUAACGCAUUAAGCACUCCGCCUGGGGAGUACGGUCGCAAGACUGAAACUCAAAGGAAUUGACGGGGGCCCGCACAAGCGGUGGAGCAUGUGGUUUAAUUCGAAGCAACGCGAAGAACCUUACCAGGUCUUGACAUCCUCUGACAACUCUAGAGAUAGAGCGUUCCCCUUCGGGGGACAGAGUGACAGGUGGUGCAUGGUUGUCGUCAGCUCGUGUCGUGAGAUGUUGGGUUAAGUCCCGCAACGAGCGCAACCCUUGAUCUUAGUUGCCAGCAUUCAGUUGGGCACUCUAAGGUGACUGCCGGUGACAAACCGGAGGAAGGUGGGGAUGACGUCAAAUCAUCAUGCCCCUUAUGACCUGGGCUACACACGUGCUACAAUGGAUGGUACAAAGGGCUGCAAGACCGCGAGGUCAAGCCAAUCCCAUAAAACCAUUCUCAGUUCGGAUUGGUA